Molecule: long non-coding RNA, 1986 nt
Filed under: Homo sapiens (human)
Lineage: Eukaryota; Metazoa; Chordata; Mammalia; Primates; Hominidae
Description: non-protein coding lnc-FCGR1A-2:1
Source: RNAcentral
CUCCCUUCUUCGACCUGAAGCGACACUUUCCUGUGCUCUAGGAGGACUUGGGUCUUGUGAGAGUCGCCCUUUGCUCCUGGAGUCGUCUCACAAGGCCGUUCACUCCCUGCUUUCUUCAAAAAAAGAACCUGCAGGCGACACACCAAGGACUCCACGAGGGAGUCCUGAGUACUGGAGCGAGUUGCGGCCACGCGGCCGCAGCUCACCACUGGCCUAGAGAUGCCCUUUGCGAGGCGGCAGCAACUGACAAGAUGGUCGCGGGUCGCCGGGUCCGGAGCCGCCCACCAGGUUGCCAGGAGGAGGCGGGAGCGGGGAGGCGCCCGAGGUGAGACAGGGGCACCCUCUGCAUCAUAAAGGACCCAGACCCCGGCACCCUCAACAUCAUAAGGAAUCAGACGGAUGCGGAAACCGAGACGGGCUGGAUAGGAAACUCUUUCCAGGAAGGCUCCGGGGCACUCAACUGGUCUCCAACCUUCCCCUGCAACCUGUGACGCCUGCCAUUUUCCCAUUUUAGGCGAUGGCAACGCAACCCCUCCGUUUGCUCUGGGCAAAACUUCGAGAGUUCCCUCUGAAGCUGGAGCUUUUUCCUCAGAUCCAAGAUCCAAUUGGUCACCAAUUCGUGAUUUCCGUCGGCCAAGUGCGUGGGCAUUGAUCUACACGCGAGUUUCUCCACCUCUGCCGAAUGGCUACUUCGGGGUGGGGGAGGGGCCCUCCCGCCGUGGAUUGCAAGGUGUUUAGCAGCAUCUGUCUCCUCCGCUGACUAGACACAUGCCAGGGGGAUAACAUUCUCCCUCCCGCUUCCCCCAGCCGCGGCCUAGUGUCCCAGCGGGGUUGGGAGAGGCAUGUGAGGGCGAAGUUGCCCCCUGUUGAGAACCAUUGCUGCGCGUAGUCCUUCUCUCUGAACUUGUGCAGAGGACUCUCCAGGUGAAGGCUCAAGGGUGGAUCCAGCUCGAGACACCCUCGCUCCCCCUCACAGUCGGACCUUAGGAUUUAGGCUUUAACAUCUCCACAUCAUGAGAUUCGAAACCUUUAGGUCUUGUCUUCCGUUCUGUCCUCCAAAUCGGCCUCUUCCGAGCCUGUUGACCAGGGCCAGCCGGGCAGAGGGCUGGGCUCGCUCAACGAGGCUCCUCUCGCACCUCCUGGAGCUUCAGGCUUCUUUCCGUUGCAGAGAAGCUUUAUGGGCCAAUUCGUUCGGCAUCCCCGGGGGCAGGUGCGCGGUGCGCGGGGAAGAAGAGGAUUUGACUGCGGUUCUCCACCCCCGGCGCCCAACCUCCACCCCGGUGCGCGCGCUCUUCCAGGCUCCUGCUGGUCCCACUUGCCAGGAGUUAGGUCUCAGGUCAGCCUGAGCUCCUGAGACGCCCAGGCCCGGAAAGACACGUAGGGGAAACCAUCUGCUCACUUCUGUCCUGUCCGGAAGGGAUCCCUUUCUGACGGGAAAGAAAGGCGCUAAACAAGCACUGGCCUUGAGAUAAGCAAUGCUGAAGCACUUGCAGCUCACCUAUUACCAUAAACUGACUGAGCCCUCCCUACACAAGCCGUAACUACUGCUUUGAUUGGACAAGAGACUGAUUUCAGUAGUUUUCUCUUGAUAAGAGACCACUGGCCGUGGGCGGGUUCUGGACAGUUUACAGAAGCUAUGCACUUGAUUGCCUUUGUGUCCCUGCUUCACCUUUUGAAGCAUAGGGCCUAAUUAUAAUGUAUUUAAAUGUUGUCUCCACCCCAAAGUGAACAUGGGUUGCAUGUAACAGGCAUGUUUACUCAGCAUGCAUGCAGCAGGAUCCCUUCACAAAUAUUCAGAGCUCCCCCUAUUCCCUGUUGAAUAUGUAUAUGUGGCCAGCCAGAUCAACGUAAAUCACUAUUCGCCCUCCCCUCCCUGGAAACCUACUUUUCGGGUUUCAGCAGGAAGCUAUGCCUCCCAGUCUGUCAGAAUGGCCACUUGCAGGCUGUAACCCUUUAUAAAAAAAUAAAAUCUCCUUUCUAAAUUUA